UCUAGGCUUAGUUGCAUUGGCGAUUAGGGCUUCAACAUAAGAAUUUUGGGGAGACACAAACACAAAGCAGUGAGUUUCAAAGACAGAAGGACUUGAGUUCUCCAGAUAUGUCCAGUCAAGAUUCAACCACCAUCUUAGAAGAAAACGAAGACAAAUCCUUUCUACCAGCACAGUAGUUUUCAACCAGCUAAACAUUACAUCACCCGGGGGAGCAUGGAGAGACCAUCAGUGUCUGGAGCCCUACGGUAAGCUUCUGUGUUAUCUGAAGACCACUUGAUUGAUCACCAGAUGUCUGGAAACCUCACUUCAGGAAACCCUGCUCCACGUAUUUGAGGAAUGGAAACUGAUGCAACAUCUGGGUUAAAAUUAUUCAGAAGUGUAAGAGUUAAGAGAUGUUGCUCACCUCUACCCUUUUCGUGCAUCUACUUCUAUGGUGGAGAGGCUCAAAGCCAUUCCCAGAUUCUGAGCCUAGACCUUAUACUUUCUUCUCCACAUUUGAGGACUUUUUAUUAAUUGUUUGCAAGCUUUCAUGGCAUUGGCAGUGGGGGAACAGAACUUUUCCCCCCC
This is a long non-coding RNA of Suricata suricatta (meerkat), 567 nucleotides long. RefSeq lists it as uncharacterized. The record is from RefSeq and is a predicted model, not a curated record. Lineage: Eukaryota; Metazoa; Chordata; Mammalia; Carnivora; Herpestidae. The transcript has 3 exons.